Molecule: ribosomal RNA, 338 nt
Filed under: uncultured bacterium
Lineage: Bacteria
Description: partial 16S ribosomal RNA
Rfam family: Bacterial small subunit ribosomal RNA
Source: RNAcentral
CCUACGGGUGGCAGCAGCAAGGAAUUUUGGGCAAUGGGGGCAACCCUGACCCAGCAACGCCGCGUGGACGAUGAAGGCUUUCGGGUCGUAAAGUCCUUUUGUGGGGGACGAUGAUGACGGUACCCCACGAAAAAGCCCCGGCUAACUACGUGCCAGCAGCCGCGGUAAUACGUAGGGGGCGAGCGUUGUCCGGAUUUAUUGGGCGUAAAGCGCGCGUAGGCGGUGCGCUAAGUCCGUGGUGAAAUCUCCCGGCUCAACUGGGAGGGGGCCUGGGAGACUGGCGCGCUGGAGGACGGCAGAGGAAGGUGGAAUUCCCGGUGUAGUGGUGAAAUGCGUAG